UGCUAGCCUCACGUUACUGUGGGAGCUAGGUGGUUUCAAAAUGGCUUUCAUGUCUCUGCUUUACAUCGCAGCAUGAUGCACAGACGCACGCCAAGUCUUGAUUUAAAGACUCGAGUCGUUCCGGGCACGUGUGUGUCCUGCUGCUGACAGCCUUGGAGCCACAGGUGCUGUUCACUUCACUCCUAAGAGAGUGCGGUUUCAACAGCAAAGUUGCUGAUGCAAAUGGGGCAGAAUGAAAAGCUUGGGAAUAAAUUAAUAAAUUAACUCAGUGGCCUCAACAUUUGUCAUCCUGCUAUGCAGCAAACCCUGUUUAUUUAAAUCACUCAUCACUGAUCACACCUCAGAUUCCUGGGAGGUAGGUGAGCUCUGCUAUAGUCAUCUUAUGGACAUUGCCUGGCCCAUUGCCUCCCAGCCAGAGAGGAGCAAACCCAUCAUUUCUGCAGCAUUUAGUUUAAACUGUGUCUCUAUCUGAUCAAUAGAGGCUGUGACAACACUCAGAGUACUCGAGCUUUGUCUGUUAGGCCUGGUUUUGGCCAAAAGUAAAACUGGGCCCACCAAAACGUGAGUAAUCUGCUGAUUGAACCGGGUAAAUCUAUGGACUAGAACCAUUUAUCUUAAAUAACCAGGACAAGCCCAUAUUCUGCAAAUAA
Long non-coding RNA from Neopsephotus bourkii (Bourke's parrot), 650 nucleotides. RefSeq lists it as uncharacterized. The record is from RefSeq and is a predicted model, not a curated record. Lineage: Eukaryota; Metazoa; Chordata; Aves; Psittaciformes; Psittacidae. The transcript is spliced from 3 exons.